GGUCAGAUAGCUUAAAUUGGUAGAGCAAGCCAGUCCAAUAUCAUAUGAUCAAUAUCAUCAGAUGGCUCAUGGGUGGAUUCGGGUUCGAAUCCCGAUCUGACCG
This 103-nucleotide transfer RNA is filed under the name Dreissena polymorpha. It matches the Rfam family "tRNA". From Rfam's summary of the family: Transfer RNA (tRNA) molecules are approximately 80 nucleotides in length. The record is from Rfam by way of RNAcentral. Lineage: Eukaryota; Metazoa; Mollusca; Bivalvia; Myida; Dreissenidae.